This 424-nucleotide ribosomal RNA is filed under the name uncultured bacterium. RNAcentral's name for it is "bacterial SSU rRNA". It matches the Rfam family "Bacterial small subunit ribosomal RNA", at positions 355 to 775 of the family's 1533-position model. The record is from RNAcentral.
UGAGGAAUAUUGGUCAAUGGGCGCGAGCCUGAACCAGCCAUCCCGCGUGCAGGAAGACGGCCCUAUGGGUUGUAAACUGCUUUUCCAGGGGGAGAAACUUGCGCACGUGUUGCGCAAUUGACGGUACCCUGGGAAUAAGCAUCGGCUAACUCCGUGCCAGCAGCCGCGGUAAUACGGAGGAUGCGAGCGUUAUCCGGAUUCAUUGGGUUUAAAGGGUGCGUAGGCGGACUAUUAAGCCAGUGGUGAAAUCCUGCAGCUUAACUGCAGAACUGCCAUUGAUACUGAUAGCCUUGAGUUUGGUUAAGGUAGGCGGAAUGUGUAAUGUAGCGGUGAAAUGCUUAGAUAUUACACAGAACACCAAUUGCGUAGGCGGCUUACUGAGCCGACACUGACGCUGAGGCACGAAAGCGUGGGGAUCGAACAG